RNAcentral lists this unclassified non-coding RNA (202 nucleotides) under Hevea brasiliensis (rubber tree). Lineage: Eukaryota; Viridiplantae; Streptophyta; Magnoliopsida; Malpighiales; Euphorbiaceae. The record is from RNAcentral.
GAGAGAGAGAGGUCUUGAGUCUUAACUUUGGAGGAGUUUCUUAGCUAGCUAAUGAGAGGGAAGAGGUCAAAAGAUCAGUCGAGUGGGAGGCGAAAUUCAUCAUACGAUGAAUCCAGUUCAUCAUCAUGGAAUCAGUAUGGAUACCCAUCACCAUAUCCAUAUCCAUCUCAGCAAAACCCAUAUUACACGCCUCAGCAACAUC